CGCUAGGGAGAGCAAACGAUCCUAAUGGGCAGUGCGUGCACAGAGAUGAUUGGGUUUUUUGUUUUCGAGACAAAUUGGUAAGCUGGAGGUGUUCGCUCUAGUUAAUAAAUAAAGUUAAAAUGCACAGAAAUGGGAUUGGGAUUGGAUUGAAAGGCAGGAGAUUGGGAUUGGAUUGGAAAGCAGGAAAAUGAGAUUGGGAUUGGACUGGAAGGCAGGAAAAUGUGAUUGGGAUUGGAUUGAAAGGCAGGAAAAUGGGAUUGGGAUUGGACUGAAAUGCAGGAAAAUGGGAUUGGGAUUGGAUUGAAAGGCAGGAAAUUGGGAUUGGACUGGAAUGCAGGAAAAUGGGAUUGGGAUUAGAUUGAAAGGCAGGAAAAUGGGAUUGGGAUUGGACUGGAAUGCAGGAAAAUGUGAUUGGGAUUGGAUUGAAAGGCAGGAAAUUGGGAUUGGACUGGAAUGCAGGAAAAUGGGAUUGGGAUUAGAUCGAAAGGCAGGACAUUGGGAUUGGACUGGAAGGCAGGAAAACGGAAAACCAUACGUAUUGGAGCCAUGGUGUUUAUAUAAUCUAAGUAAAAAAUGGAAGAAGUCAAACAUAUGUUUAUAGAAAAUUAGAGUACAAGUUUGAGGUUUUAGGAAGACGAAGAUUUCUGUGUGUGUGUGUGUGUGUGUGUGUGUGUGUGUGUGUGUGUGUGUGUGUGUGCUGUCAUUUUCAUUUAUUUAUUCUCCAGUUUCAGGAUCUUUUGAAGCUUGAAACCUAACUCAUUUUGCUGUAACCUAAAGCUUGCACACGAGCCCAUCAUCUCGCUGAAAAUCUUCCUUCACUAUAACAGGAGAAACCACAACAAAAACAAAUAGCAGAGAGGACAGCUAAGGUUUCUGUGCUGACCCAUAUUCAGUGGAUCCCACAAAUAUGAGCCUAUACAGCUUUCCCAAUCAAAGACAAUGAAGCGUU
Molecule: long non-coding RNA, 949 nt
Organism: Ictalurus punctatus (channel catfish)
Lineage: Eukaryota; Metazoa; Chordata; Actinopteri; Siluriformes; Ictaluridae
Source: Ensembl